AACUUUUGGCUUUGUUGCACCCGGACCAUGCCCUUGUGGUGUGUUGCUCUGGUGUGCACAAGUCAUUCUUCUGGAAAGCAUCUCUGCCCUUAAUUGGGUUGGUUUUGUAAUUCAGAUCAUUUACUGUGAGAAAAUCAGAGUGUUCAAAGCAGGCUCUAAUGCUUGUAUGGUUCAGCAUGGAAUAAUAAGAUAAGACUUCGGUUUUAUUUUGUUGGCUAUAAGACCAAAGUAAUGAUUGAAAGGGAUAGUUGGGGGUGCUAGUAUUUAGUGGUCAGCGGUGAAAUGCGGGGACCCAUUAAAGACUAACUUAUGCGAAAGCAUU
Molecule: ribosomal RNA, 322 nt
Filed under: uncultured Thalassomyxa
Lineage: Eukaryota; Endomyxa; Vampyrellida
Description: SSU rRNA
Rfam family: Eukaryotic small subunit ribosomal RNA
Source: RNAcentral